Populus trichocarpa (black cottonwood) is the source of this 3493-nucleotide RNA transcript. RefSeq lists it as uncharacterized. The transcript has 3 exons. The record is from RefSeq and is a predicted model, not a curated record. NCBI's taxonomy places the organism in Eukaryota, Viridiplantae, Streptophyta, Magnoliopsida, Malpighiales, Salicaceae.
CGAGACAGCAACAGCACCACCAGCAGCAGCAAUUUCCUUUCCUUUCACUAUUUUAAUUUUCCCUUCGCGUUUCCAGAAAAGUAAAAGCUCCUCCCUCCAGUCUUGGAUCCUAACAAUGGAUCUUCUCCAAAACUACCAAAACGACGGAGAAUUAGACCAAAACCCUAAUUCCUCUCCGGAUUCAUCCCCUCCACGUCUCCUCCCUUCCAAAUCCGCCGCUCCCAAAGUCGACGACACCAUGCUAGCCCUAACAGUAGCCAAUCAAAUGCUCUCUAAACCUAUCGACCCCGUCCAGCACGUCGUCGCUUUCAACCCUACCUACGACCAGCUGUGGGCUCCGGUUUUAGGCCCCGCCCAUCCCUACGCCAAGGACGGCAUUGCCCAGGGCAUGCGCAACCACAAGCUCGGCUUCGUCGAGGACGCCGCCAUUGAUUCCUUCGUCUUCGACGAGCAGUACAACACUUUCCACAAGUAUGGCUACGCGGCUGACCCCUCUGCUUCUGCAGGUAAUAAUUAUAUUGGUGAUUUGGAUGUUUUAGAAAAAAAUAAUGGGAUUUCUGUUUAUAAUAUUCCGCAACAUGAACAAAAGAAGCGAAAGAUUGAGAAGAAAACGGAAGCUGUUGAGGAUGACGAUGAUGGAAUGGACAAGGAAGAGGUUGAGAAUCCGGCUACGGAUGCGUGGUUGAUGAAGAAUAGGAAGAGCCCUUGGGCUGGUAAGAAGGAGGGAUUACAAACUGAGUUGACUGAAGAGCAGAAAAAAUAUGCGGAAGAGCACGCGAGGAAGAAGGAGGAGAAAGCUGGUGGUGAAAAAGGUGAGCUUGUUGCUGAUAAGACUACUUUUCAUGGUAAAGAAGAGAGGGAUUAUCAAGGGAGGUCGUGGAUUGCGCCACCUAAAGAUGCUAAAGCUAGUAAUGAUCAUUGUUAUAUACCCAAGAGAUUGGUGCAUACAUGGAGUGGCCAUACUAAAGGAGUUUCUGCUAUAAGGUUUUUCCCUAAACAUGGCCAUUUGAUACUUUCUGCGGGUAUGGAUACGAAGGUGAAGAUAUGGGAUGUGUUUAAUUCGGGAAAGUGUAUGAGAACUUAUAUGGGUCAUUCUAAGGCUGUCAGGGAUAUUUCAUUUUGUAACGAUGGCUCCAAGUUUUUAACUGCUGGUUAUGAUAAGAAUAUUAAGUACUGGGACACAGAGACGGGCCAGGUUAUCUCUUCGUUUUCGACUGGGAAGAUUCCAUAUGUUGUUAAGCUCAAUCCUGAUGAUGAUAAGCAGAAUAUAUUGUUGGCGGGUAUGAGUGAUAAGAAGAUUGUGCAGUGGGAUAUGAACACAGGGCAGAUUACUCAGGAGUAUGACCAGCAUUUGGGGGCAGUGAAUACCAUCACAUUUGUGGAUAAUAACAGGAGAUUUGUUACUUCAAGUGAUGAUAAAUCACUCCGUGUAUGGGAAUUUGGGAUCCCUGUUGUUAUUAAGUAUAUUAGUGAGCCUCACAUGCAUUCUAUGCCAUCGAUCUCUCUUCAUCCCAAUAUGAAUUGGCUUGCUGCGCAGAGUUUGGAUAACCAGAUUCUUAUUUAUAGUACUAGGGAAAGAUUCCAGUUGAAUAAGAAGAAGAGGUUCGCUGGUCACAUUGUGGCUGGUUAUGCUUGUCAAGUCAAUUUCUCACCAGAUGGAAGAUUUGUUAUGUCAGGAGAUGGUGAGGGUAAAUGCUGGUUUUGGGACUGGAAGAGUUGUAAAGUUUUCAGGACCCUCAAAUGUCACGAGGGAGUCUGCAUUGGGGCUGAGUGGCAUCCGCUGGAGCAAAGUAAAGUGGCCACUUGUGGCUGGGAUGGAUUGAUUAAAUACUGGGACUAGUUGCUUUCAGAUCUGACUUGGCACAUAUAUCAGUUGAGCAACCCACUUCAUACACCCUGCCAGAGAGAGACUACAGAUAUCCUGCUGAAUAGAUGAGUGGAAGAACCAAACUAGUUUCUUCUAUCCAGAAAUUUAUGUGCAGCAAUUGGUGAGAAUUGAUUGAGGACCAUUGAGAAACUCAUCCCAACGUUUGCAACCUGCAGGUUAUCUUUCUAGCAUUAGAUGUCGACAAGCAUGAAAACAUAAAAUCAGACCAUCUGGAACUCGACUUGCAGAGUUAUGUUUAGAUAUACAAAUACAAUUUCCGAUUGCUGCAGAGGACAUCGGACUCGUAGAUUUUAGCAGCCUUGCUCACAUUCCACUGCAGGCAAGAACUAGAAAUGAACUAUAACAUCUGGAUUUUACAAGUUAAAACAAUAACUUGGGAAUACACAAGUCAUAUCAGUGGUAUUCUCAUUCAUUAUUCUUCUGUAUGCUAAAGCCGGGAAAAUAUAGUUAUUAUAAAAAUGAAAAGGCACCUCAAUCAGGCCAGUCAAUAAUGUAAAGCUGAUUCGGCCACUCCUCCAAGCUCAAACCAACACCCGGUGUGCAAGAUGAUGAUGACGGUUCAUGAGCAGAACUUUUUUGAAUCGCCAUUGACAAUAAAAUCAAAUCAGUGUAACAGUAGUGGCUUCCCACUUGUGGGCAAAGCCACCAUUCUUAGCGCAUUCUCUGUCUAAACCCAAGGAAGACAAGAAUUAUGAUGGAAUAUAAUUAGUGUCUGCUGUAUGAAACAGGAUCCUCAUGAAGAUACCACCACCUGCAGAGUCUUUCAGCUUGUGGCAUUCAGUUUCUGUUGAAGGAUCUUGUUCAGAAGUCCUGGAUUGGCCUUACCUUUUGAUAAUUUCAUCACCUGCAAAUGAAUCAGCGUUCAGAAUUAUCCCAAUCUACUAAAGCAUAAUCAGGGGAAAAUAAAUUACAUGAAGGUUCGUCUUAUAACUUGUAAUGGUUUGUAUACCUGGCCAGCUAAAAAACCUUGUAUCUUAGUUUUUCCGGCUCGGUAUUGUUCCAACUGCUUUGGGUUCUCUGAAAGCACUUUAUCUACCAUCUUCUCAAUAUGAGCAGGAUCUACUAUCUGUUAUAUUGAAACAUGUGAGAAACCCACCUAUUUGAACUAAAAUAGUGUUCCUCUCCUGAUUUCCAUACAACAUUUAUGCCAUAUUCAAUCACUGAAAUUACACUCAUCUCACUGUUAGAUGUGUUAAGAAACUGAACCACAGAUAAAGCUUGGCUUGGCUUGGCGGACACCUCCUCCAGCCUUUUCUACAACCAUAGAGCACAUUGCAUUUUCAAGCUAAGCUUCUAAGCUUUGCCAACACCAUGACCAACUCAUUAGACAAUUGAAGCACAAAGGUAAUCGACAAUUGAAGCACUAAGGUAAUCGAUCACACAGCUGAAUGAUUUAUUAUUUGUUGGCACCUUUUAAAGAGAGUAAAGGUGGAAACUUUAUUAGAAGAUUCAACAAACUCAGCUUUUCUUCACGUCUCUGGUUCUCAACACCAUGCUAGACCAAGAAGGCUUGUAAGGAAAUGACACAAUCAUGCAGCUGCGCUUCCAGUUAAUUUGUUUAUUUCUGCCGUUUGGCAUAGUAAAGGCAAUCACAUUUAUUUUUUA